GGUCGAGUAGCCAAGUGGUUGAAGGCGUCAGUCUGCAAAAGUGAUAUUUUGCUCGUGGGUUCAAAUCCCACCUCGACCU
RNAcentral lists this transfer RNA (79 nucleotides) under Cyanobacteriota bacterium. RNAcentral's name for it is "tRNA-Cys". It matches the Rfam family "tRNA". From Rfam's summary of the family: Transfer RNA (tRNA) molecules are approximately 80 nucleotides in length. Their secondary structure includes four short double-helical elements and three loops (D, anti-codon, and T loops). Lineage: Bacteria; Bacillati; Cyanobacteriota. The record is from RNAcentral.